This is a long non-coding RNA of Prosopis cineraria, 540 nucleotides long. RefSeq lists it as uncharacterized. The record is from RefSeq and is a predicted model, not a curated record. The transcript has 2 exons. Lineage: Eukaryota; Viridiplantae; Streptophyta; Magnoliopsida; Fabales; Fabaceae.
UGAUGAGAGGAUCCGGACCACGAGUGUGAGUACCGUUGUGAGUGACCAUCGGCGCUAGCUCUCUCAAGAUCGGGUCACUGAAGCUCGUUGAUUCGUAGUCUCAUCUUAGCGUCGUUGAUCCAUUCUGGUCCGAUGGUGGGUCCUGUGUCGGGUCCCUAAUUCGCUGAUUUGUUCAGGGGUUGUUUGUAUGGGUUCUCCUCCAACAACUAAAGCAUAGCUGAUUCGUUGAUUCGUUCAGGGGAGUUUGUCAGCUUUCUAUCUUAAGAGCAACUUCAAAUUUUCUAUUGCAAAGCACUUUUGCCCAGAAAAUGUCCAUCGAUUGCUUGAGUAAGGACAGAAGAUGGAGUAGAGGAGAGUGAAGAAGAAGAGCUAGAAGAUGAGAAGAAGAGAUGUUUCUGUUUUUUUUUUUUUAAUGCCUGCACGUGGCAGAUAAGGUAAAAUUGCACCCUUUUUAAAAAGGGAGCGUACUAAGGACCUUGAAAAUACAUAAUAUUAUACUUUGGAUUUAAAAAAAUUUAAUAUUUUAUUGCAGAUUUAGAA